This 277-nucleotide ribosomal RNA is filed under the name uncultured bacterium. RNAcentral's name for it is "partial 16S ribosomal RNA". It matches the Rfam family "Bacterial small subunit ribosomal RNA", at positions 29 to 310 of the family's 1533-position model. The record is from RNAcentral.
AAUAAACGCUGGCGGCGUGCCUAACACAUGCAAGUCGAGCGAGAAAGCUCCUUCGGGAGUAAGUACAGCGGCGAACGGGUGAGCAACGCGUGAGAAUCUACCCUUCAGUGAAGAAUACCUCCGAGAAAUCGGGGCUAAUACUGCAUACGUCCCUUCGGGGAGAAAGAUGGCCUCUUUGCUAUCGUUGAAGGAUGAGCUUGCGUACUAUUAGCUAGUUGGCGGAGUAAAAGCCCACCAAGGCUAUGAUGGUUAACCGGCCUGAGAGGGUGUACGGUCA